RNAcentral lists this transfer RNA (33 nucleotides) under Crotalus atrox (western diamondback rattlesnake). RNAcentral describes it as "partial tRNA-Ser". The record is from RNAcentral. Lineage: Eukaryota; Metazoa; Chordata; Lepidosauria; Squamata; Viperidae.
GAGAGGUCCAGAAGACCUGCUAACUCUUCAAUC